Molecule: ribosomal RNA, 465 nt
Filed under: uncultured bacterium
Lineage: Bacteria
Description: bacterial SSU rRNA
Rfam family: Bacterial small subunit ribosomal RNA
Source: RNAcentral
UCCAGACUCCUACGGGAGGCAGCAGUGAGGAAUAUUGGUCAAUGGCCGAAGGGCUGAACCAGCCAAGCCGCGUGAAGGAAUAAGGCCCUACGGGUCGUAAACUUCUUUAGUCAGGGAACAAAGGGAGCCACGCGUGGCGCUGUGAGUGUACCUGAAGAAUAAGCCCCGGCUAACUACGUGCCAGCAGCCGCGGUAAUACGUAGGGGGCAAGCGUUAUCCGGAUUUACUGGGUGUAAAGGGAGCGUAGACGGCAGUGCAAGUCUGGAGUGAAAGGCGGGGGCUCAACCCCCGGACUGCUCUGGAAACUGUACGGCUGGAGUGCAGGAGAGGUAAGUGGAAUUCCUAGUGUAGCGGUGAAAUGCGUAGAUAUUAGGAGGAACACCAGUGGCGAAGGCGGCUUACUGGACUGUAACUGACGUUGAGGCUCGAAAGCGUGGGGAGCAAACAGGAUUAGAUACCCCAGUA